UAACGGCAUGUACUGUCNGGCUGGGUCUUACCUCUUGGUGAGCCGGUGUGCCCUUUAUUGGCGUGCAUUGGGGAACCAGGACUUUUACCUUGAGAAAAUUAGAGUGUUCAAAGCAGGCCUAUGCCCGAAUACAUUAGCAUGGAAUAAUAAAAUAGGACGUGUGGUUCUAUUUUGUUGGUUUCUAGAGUCGCCGUAAUGAUUAAUAGGGAUAGUUGGGGGCAUUGGUAUUGAGUCGCUAGAGGUGAAAUUCUUGGAUUGACUCAAGACCAACUAUUGCGAAAGCAUUUGCCAAGGAUGUUUUCAUUAAUCAAGAACGAAGGUUAGGGGAUCGAAAACG
Molecule: ribosomal RNA, 337 nt
Filed under: Cortinarius brunneus
Lineage: Eukaryota; Fungi; Basidiomycota; Agaricomycetes; Agaricales; Cortinariaceae
Description: SSU rRNA
Rfam family: Eukaryotic small subunit ribosomal RNA
Source: RNAcentral